This 520-nucleotide ribosomal RNA is filed under the name uncultured bacterium. RNAcentral describes it as "bacterial SSU rRNA". It matches the Rfam family "Bacterial small subunit ribosomal RNA", at positions 26 to 518 of the family's 1533-position model. The record is from RNAcentral.
UAGGACGAACGCUGGCGGCGUGCCUAAUACAUGCAAGUCGAACGGUCUUUCUAUGGAAGCUUGCUUCCACUGAGAAGAUAGUGGCGGACGGGUGAGUAACACGUGGGUAACCUGCCCAUAAGAGGGGGAUAACAUCCGGAAACGGGUGCUAAUACCGCAUAGUUUUCUUGAUCGCAUGAUCGGGAAAGGAAAGACGGCCUUUGUGCUGUCGCUUAUGGAUGGACCCGCGGCGUAUUAGUUAGUUGGUGAGGUAAUGGCUCACCAAGACGAUGAUACGUAGCCGACCUGAGAGGGUGAUCGGCCACAUUGGGACUGAGACACGGCCCAAACUCCUACGGGAGGCAGCAGUAGGGAAUCUUCCGCAAUGGACGAAAGUCUGACGGAGCAACGCCGCGUGAGUGAAGAAGGUUUUCGGAAUCGUAAAACUCUGUUGUCAGAGAAGAACAAGUUGGAGAGUAACUGCUCCAGCCUUGACGGUAUCUGACCAGAAAGCCACGGCUAACUACGUGCCAGCAGCAGC